UCGCGAAAACUUUGCAAUAAGCGAAAGCUUGACAGGGCUAUCCCGAGUGCCAUCCGCUGAGGAAGGCUUUUUACCCAGUCUAGAACGCUGGGGGAAUAAGGAGAGGGCAAGUCUGGUGUCAGCCGCCGCGGUAAUACCAGCUCUCCGAGUGGUGUGGAUGUUUAUUGGGCCUAAAGCAUCCGUAGCUGGCUAGGUCAGUCCCUUGUUAAAUCCACCGAAUUAAUCGUUGGAUUGCGGGGGAUACUGCUUGGCUAGGGGACGAGAGAGGCAGACGGUAUUUUCGGGGUAGGGGUGAAAUCCUAUAAUCCCGGGAAGACCACCAGUGGCGAAGGCUGUCUGCUAGAACGCGCCCGACGGUGAGGGAUGAAAGCUGGGGGAGCGAACCGGAUUAGAUACCCGGGUAGUCCCAGCUGUAAACGAUGCAGACUAGGUGUUUGGACGGCCACGUGCCGUUCUAGUGCCGCAGGGAAGCUGUUAAGUCUGCCGCCUGGGGAGUACGAUCGCAAGAUUGAAACUUAAAGGAAUUGGCGGGGAGCACCACAAGGGGUGAAGCUUGCGGUUU
This 562-nucleotide ribosomal RNA is filed under the name uncultured crenarchaeote. Its description in RNAcentral is "bacterial SSU rRNA". It matches the Rfam family "Archaeal small subunit ribosomal RNA", at positions 339 to 903 of the family's 1478-position model. Lineage: Archaea; Thermoproteati; Thermoproteota. The record is from RNAcentral.